This 46-nucleotide non-coding RNA is filed under the name Trichobilharzia regenti. The record is from RNAcentral. Lineage: Eukaryota; Metazoa; Platyhelminthes; Trematoda; Strigeidida; Schistosomatidae.
GUACUGAUGAAGAGUCCCAAACUAGGAUGAAACAGCUGUCUAGUAC